This 765-nucleotide long non-coding RNA is filed under the name Homo sapiens (human). RNAcentral's name for it is "HSALNT0109670". The record is from RNAcentral. Lineage: Eukaryota; Metazoa; Chordata; Mammalia; Primates; Hominidae.
GCCAGCUGCCAUGUCCUGAAGAUACUAAGGCAACCGUGUGCAGAGGAACUAAAAUACCGAGUUCAACAACAGAUCACAGGUUGCGAGAGGUCUUAAAUCCAUACUCUUCCAGUGACUAGAGCAAAUGCAGCCCUAGGUCUGGCAUCCUGAAUUUUUGUCUUAUUUUUUCAUUAGUACACGAGACUCUACUUUCAUCUUUUUAAAAGGUCUCUUGCUAUCCUUCAAGCAAAGCUAUCUCCAAAUCUGAAGAAGAGACCAAGAAAUAGAAAAAGUAGCACCUCUUGCCUGCUUCCCUGUCUAAUAUUUGAAAGAGUGCCUCCAUCAGAGAGCUCCAUCCAGACCUAGACUUGGACAAUAGGCAGUUGUUUGCUUGCCUCUGGCUCUGCUCACUCUCCAUGGGGGUCUAUAGCUGGUGAUCAUCUUGUAUACCUAAUUCUGGCUUCAUCUUCAGACUCGGACAGAUGAUGAUGAAGUGGAUGUUGUUCUCAUUAUUCCUGCCUCAGGAUGUGGUGGACCACCAUCUGCAGCUGCCGUGUAAGUGAUCAUCUUGGCGCUGACCCACAUGCCACCUUUGUAGUCAUGAGUAUUCUAUCCGAGAGAUGCCAUCUGGUUUUCAUGGAAGCUGGUGGAAAAGUGGGGGUCUGUGUUUCACUGCAGAGAUGCGUGUUCAGAGAAAAAAACUGAACAUUUUCUGCUCCCAUUAGGGACAGAGCAUCAGCUGUUGUGUUCUUUGCAUCAAAUUUUCUCAUAGCUUAUACUUUCCCG